AGUUAUCAAAAUCAAACUGUUUAAUUUUACACGACGAGCGUCUCGGAGGCAAACCCACGCGAUCAAUCACGAGUGUUCACAUUUCUCAUCAUCCUUUAUACAAAUUAUUAUUAUAAUGUGAUAUGAUUUUCAAUCGUACAAUCAUACAACUAUACAAGUGUUAUAAUUAAUAUAUUUUAAUUAUAUAAUAAUAUAUAGAAGAGUUUGGGACCAGUAACAUGGAAGAGAUAAAGUACGUGGCGUGUAAUAAAUAUUUUAAUUACAAAAGAACAUUAAAGCGACACCAAAUUACUUGUGGAUGUAAGGAAUCCAAAAAUGUUAUUAGUAUGAAAUGUCCAGAUUUGUCCUGUAAUAAGUCAUUUACAAACAAAAAACUGUUGAAAUUACAUUAGAGGCAGACCAUGACAUGAAGUUACAAAAUGAACAAAGAACAUUUGCAGCUCUUCGUGAUAAGUAUGAUUUACUGAAUUUUAAUUUUACUUGAAAUAUUCUGUUUUUCUAAAAGACUAGUAUGCCACAAUUAUAGUUGUAUUGAAUUAUAAAAUAUAUACCAUAAGAUUUCAAAGAAUGGAAAUCAAAAAAGGAAUAUAACAAUUUAUGUCGUUACGCAUUAAGAGCUCAAAAAAAUUUCGGACAGAAUAAAAACAUAAAAUAAUCUAUACAUGGUCAUCAAACUGGUAAUUACCAAAGCAGAUCAACGGGUGUCCAUAACAUAAGAAGUCAGGGCAAAAACAAAAUUGGAUCUACAUGUCUAACUUCAAUGUUUAUUUUUCUAGAUACCAGAACCACAGACUAUCAAAGGAUGCUGGGAAUGGAACUUGCAUUUGUCAAACCUGUGAAGCUACUAUUAUUCUACGUUGACAAAAACACGAUAACAUACUAAUAAACAUCAAUGAUUUAUUGCAAUAUUAUUUGUAAAGAUUAUUGAUUAUACCAGUACCACAGAUUAUCAAAGGAUGCUGGGAAUGGAACUUGCAUUUGUCAAACCUGUGAAGCUACUAUUAUUCUACGUUGACGAUAAACGAUAACAUACUAAUAAACAUCAAUGAUUUAUUGCAAUAUUAUUUGUAAAGAUUGUUGAUUAUACCAGUACCACAGAUUAUCAAAGGAUGCUGGGAAUGGAACUUGCAUUUGUCAAACCUGUGAAGCUACUAUUAUUCUACGUUGACAAAAACACGAUAACAUACUAAUAAACAUCAAUGAUUUAUUGCAAUAUUAUUUGUAAAGAUUAUUGAUUAUACCAGUACCACAGACUAUCAAAGGAUGCUGGGAAUGGAACUUGCAUUUGUCAAACCUGUGAAGCUACUAUUAUUCUACGUUGACAAAAAAACGAUAACAUACUAAUAAACAUCAAUGAUUUAUUGCAAUAUUAUUUGUAAAGAUUAUUGAUUAUACCAGUACCACAGAUUAUCAAAGGAUGCUGGGAAUGGAACUUGCAUUUGUCAAACCUGUGAAGCUACUAUUAUUCUACGUUGACGAUAAACGAUAACAUACUAAUAAACAUCAAUGAUUUAUUGCAAUAUUAUUUGUAAAGAUUGUUGAUUAUACCAGUACCACAGACUAUCAAAGGAUGCUGGGAAUGGAACUUGCAUUUGUCAAACCUGUGAAGCUACUAUUAUUCUACGUUGACAAAAAAACGAUAACAUACUAAUAAACAUCAAUGAUUUAUUGCAAUAUUAUUUGUAAAGAUUAUUGAUUAUACCAGUACCACAGAUUAUCAAAGGAUGCUGGGAAUGGAACUUGCAUUUGUCAAACCUGUGAAGCUACUAUUAUUCUACGUUGACGAUAAACGAUAACAUACUAAUAAACAUCAAUGAUUUAUUGCAAUAUUAUUUGUAAAGAUUGUUGAUUAUACCAGUACCACAGACUAUCAAAGGAUGCUGGGAAUGGAACUUGCAUUUGUCAAACCUGUGAAGCUACUAUUAUUCUACGUUGACAAAAAAACGAUAACAUACUAAUAAACAUCAAUGAUUUAUUGCAAUAUUAUUUGUAAAGAUUAUUGAUUAUACCAGUACCACAGAUUAUCAAAGGAUGCUGGGAAUGGAACUUGCAUUUGUCAAACCUGUGAAGCUACUAUUAUUCUACGUUGACGAUAAACGAUAACAUACUAAUAAACAUCAAUGAUUUAUUGCAAUAUUAUUUGUAAAGAUUGUUGAUUAUACCAGUACCACAGACUAUCAAAGGAUGCUGGGAAUGGAACUUGCAUUUGUCAAACCUGUGAAGCUACUAUUAUUCUACGUUGACAAAAAAACGAUAACAUACUAAUAAACAUCAAUGAUUUAUUGCAAUAUUAUUUGUAAAGAUUAUUGAUUAUACCAGUACCACAGAUUAUCAAAGGAUGCUGGGAAUGGAACUUGCAUUUGUCAAACCUGUGAAGCUACUAUUAUUCUACGUUGACGAUAAACGAUAACAUACUAAUAAACAUCAAUGAUUUAUUGCAAUAUUAUUUGUAAAGAUUGUUGAUUGUAAGUUCAUUUUUCAUUACAAAUUAAAUUUUACAUAUCUAAACAAUUUUUUAACAAACACCAUUG
Molecule: RNA transcript, 2531 nt
Organism: Rhopalosiphum padi (bird cherry-oat aphid)
Lineage: Eukaryota; Metazoa; Arthropoda; Insecta; Hemiptera; Aphididae
Exons: 12
Source: RefSeq, a predicted model, not a curated record